GCAGUGGUAGUUCAGUGGUAGAAUUCUUGCCUUCUGUGCAAGGGACAAUUCCUGGCCCAUAGACCUCCUGCA
RNAcentral lists this transfer RNA (72 nucleotides) under Loxodonta africana (African savanna elephant). It matches the Rfam family "tRNA". From Rfam's summary of the family: Transfer RNA (tRNA) molecules are approximately 80 nucleotides in length. The record is from Rfam by way of RNAcentral. Lineage: Eukaryota; Metazoa; Chordata; Mammalia; Proboscidea; Elephantidae.